Molecule: small nuclear RNA, 146 nt
Filed under: Moschus moschiferus (Siberian musk deer)
Lineage: Eukaryota; Metazoa; Chordata; Mammalia; Artiodactyla; Moschidae
Description: U4 spliceosomal RNA (ENSMMSG00000015596.1)
Rfam family: U4 spliceosomal RNA
About the family: U4 small nuclear RNA (U4 snRNA) is a component of the major U2-dependent spliceosome. The structure of U4 snRNA from yeast and human has been reported. U4 snRNA presents a k-turn RNA motif in the 5p-SL related to recognition of Snu13 protein.
Source: Rfam by way of RNAcentral
AGCUUUGCGCAGUGGUAGUAUCGUAGCCAAUGAGGCUUAUCCGAGGCGCGAUUAUUGCUAAUUGAAAAGUAUGGGACUACUUCACCAGGUAAGACCUGAAAAAUGACUAUCAUAGUGAGAGGUAUUUUCGCAAGAUCACCAAUGGU